Salvia splendens (bonfire salvia) is the source of this 561-nucleotide long non-coding RNA. RefSeq lists it as uncharacterized. The transcript is spliced from 2 exons. NCBI's taxonomy places the organism in Eukaryota, Viridiplantae, Streptophyta, Magnoliopsida, Lamiales, Lamiaceae. The record is from RefSeq and is a predicted model, not a curated record.
GGCGCGCCAUAGGGCGCACCUUAGGGCGCGCCUUAGGACGCCCCACUGCAGGUGGGGAGGUAGGAGGAUAAAACUACUGACGUGGCGCGCCUUAGGGCGCCCCAUUGCUAAUGCUCUAAGCCUUUGAAUGUGUUCAAAUGAUUUUGUCACGUCAAUGGAAAGUCAGUAUAUAGUGAAGUGAUUACAUUAGAACUUAGAAGUUAAAGUAACAGUAGCAACGAUAAAAAUUGAAUUAUGUUGAUACUAUUAACUUGUAUACCAUAUAUUGCAUGAGGUGAUCACUCUCAUGCAGAGUCGGAGAAAAGUGAAAGCGCAAGACUAAGAUAACUGAUAUAUGAAGACGCUUUGGGCCUUCGAGGUUAAGUUAUAAAUUUUGACAUCAGAGUAGCGCAACAGCUGCAUCUUCGGCGAGUCACUAGUGGUUUGUGAAAGUUUAGAAAGUGUGGCAUGUUUUGUAUGAAGCUUUGGAUAGUUCAUUUCCGCUGCGAUGUUCUAUUAUGAUAAAUUUUCUGUAAUGUAUUGUGAUUUGAGUGUCCACAAUGUCGAAUCAUGGCGUCAUUA